Aricia agestis (brown argus) is the source of this 298-nucleotide long non-coding RNA. RefSeq lists it as uncharacterized. NCBI's taxonomy places the organism in Eukaryota, Metazoa, Arthropoda, Insecta, Lepidoptera, Lycaenidae. The transcript is spliced from 3 exons. The record is from RefSeq and is a predicted model, not a curated record.
AGUCAACUGCAGUAAAUGACAUCAUCAUCAUCAGUCAGCUGCAGUCAAAACAUCUCUUGGACUAUAAUAAACUUGAAGCAUACAUAAAGUGGUGCCGCCUCUCAGACUAUACAGAUAAGACCACUCAAGCAGUUUCUUAAUAAAAUUGCGAAAGACGACGGAAUACUGGAAAUGCUGCCGCCGCAUCAUCGUGGUGGUCCCAACUCCGUGGGACCUGAUUUUGGUAGUUAGUUAGCUCACUUUAGAUCUUACAUCGAUCGGGGUCGGUAGUUGUAAUUUAGGAUAUAGUCUUUUUAUA